RNAcentral lists this ribosomal RNA (455 nucleotides) under uncultured bacterium. RNAcentral describes it as "bacterial SSU rRNA". It matches the Rfam family "Bacterial small subunit ribosomal RNA", at positions 340 to 786 of the family's 1533-position model. The record is from RNAcentral.
UACGGGAGGCAGCAGUGGGGAAUAUUGCACAAUGGGCGCAAGCCUGAUGCAGCCAUGCCGCGUGUAUGAAGAAGGCCUUCGGGUUGUAAAGUACUUUCAGUCGUGAGGAAGGUGUUAAGGUUAAUAACCUUAGCAAUUGACGUUAGCGACAGAAGAAGCACCGGCUAACUCCGUGCCAGCAGCCGCGGUAAUACGGAGGGUGCGAGCGUUAAUCGGAAUUACUGGGCGUAAAGGGCACGCAGGCGGUUAAUUAAGUUGGAUGUGAAAUCCCCGGGCUUAACCUGGGAAUGGCAUUCAAGACUGGUUAGCUAGAGUCUUGUAGAGGGGGUAGAAUUCCAUGUGUAGCGGUGAAAUGCGUAGAGAUGUGGAGGAAUACCGGUGGCGAAGGCGGGCCCCUGGGACAAAGACUGACGCUCAUGUGCGAAAGCGUGGGGAGCAAACAGGGAUUAGAUACC